ACGCCCAGAUUUUUGUAUUUUUAGUAGAGAUGGGGUUUUACCAUGUUGGCCAGAAUGGUCUCGAUUUCCUGACCUCAAGUGAUCCGCCCGACUCGGCCUCCCAAAGUGCUGGGAUUACAGGCGUGGACUGGCCAUCUUCUUUGAUUGCUAUCUCCAUGCGUUCCGGUCAAGGCACGGGAUGGUGGUCUCCAGUUCAGUUGAAAUUUCCAAAAUCAAGGCCUGGAAAAAAUCAAGGCGCUGAUUUCCAGAGAUUCCCCAGAACUGCCGCGAGGGGGCGCCCGGCGCUGCCAAACCCGGAGGGCCGCGCGCGCCAACCGUGUCCAAUCCGCACGGCGGCGUCCUGGGGAGUCCACUGUGAGGACGGAGCUUCCUCUCCUCAGGACCCACCCAGGAGGGGCCGGGACUUGGGACACCUGGGGCCGCGUCCGCUGUGAGGACAGGGAGACUCUGCUGCAGCUCCGGGACACCUGGGGCCGCCGAGGCGAAGGACGCAGCAGAAGAGAGAGAAUUCUCUGGCUCCCUGAAGAGUCAGGAGGAGAGUGUUUCUAAGGUCUGGCCCGAUUGCCCAGGCUGGAGUGCUCUGGCACCUUCUCGGCUCACUGCAUCCUCCUGGGCUUAAGCCAUCCUCCCACUUCAGCCUCCCGAGUAGCUGGGACUACAGGUAUAUACAAUCGUGCUCAGCUAAUUUUUGUAUUUUUUUUGUAGAGACGAGGUUUUGCCAUGUUGCCCAGGCUGGCCUCAGACCCGCCCAAAGUGCUGGGAUUACAAGCAUGAACCACCAUGCCCAGCCCAGUGUGUUCUUAUUAAAUUUCAGUAAUUAGUCGUGCCAUUUGUCUUUUGUUCAACACUGAGAUUUCAUUUUUCUUUCCUAAUUGUCUCAUACAUGGACUUUGGUUCCAUUAAACUAUUAUUUCCUUGAUCUACAAAUUGCGGGUGAUUCUUGCAGAUUAGCUAAGAAAUAAUUAUGUUUUGUUUUUAGAAAAACCACAUUAUUAACUUUACUACUGUUAGAUACCACAACUGCUGUGACUUUAAGGACUUUGCUGGACAAUGUCUUAGACGAUUUGCUAAGGGUCGACAUUGGGUGAAUGGCUUGAGGGAACAUGCAUUAAAUACUCGAGACACCCAGGAGGCUGCUGUGUCCGCUUAAGAGAGAGCAUAUGAGACUGCAGGCCAUUGGGGUUGAAUGCCUUGGAAAGGGCAGUAUGCAGGGGCACACAGUGUGUGGAGGUCAUGGUCAGUCCUGCUGUCCUUGUUCUAAGGCCAGUGGGAACCCAUUGUAAAAGUUAAAUCAGAGAGUGACAUUAUGAACCUUCGGUUUGAAAAUGAGAAUUUUGCCAUUAUAAAGUUGAGAUCACCAGUUGUGGGCAGGUGGAUUGUGCUCUUUCUGGUGGGUUGCACUGAGGAGAGCAAACAUUGGGCUGAGGUGUUUCCGCUGGGAACGCAGGGUCUGCAUCUGCUCAGGAGGAAACAUGAGGCAGACCCAGCUUGGAGUUAUCUGCCAAAGUUGUGAAACUGAGGGACAGCUCAGGAACAUUCCAGAAAAAGGAAAACCCAAUCCAAAUGGAAAGAGACACUUUCUCCCAGUUGGGGCAGGCAGUGAAGUGAAAUGGGUCUGUGGAUUGGAUUGUCAGGUAGAGAACUUGUAUUUCCUGAUUUGGGGGUUAUGUGGUGGUUAGCUGGGAGGCUGUCUUUGCUUUGGUAAAAUACACUGGAGUGUUUUGUGUGGAGUUGCUGUAACUGCUGAGGAAUCUAAGAGAAGGGAUAAGUUACACUUUACACUGCUAUUGCAAGAUUCCUAGAAGUAUGAAAUUACUGUAAAUUAUAAACAACCACAGUAAUACCAUGUCAGUAAAGCAGAGACGACAUGAAACUUCACUAUAGAGGCCAAACCCAGUCCAAAUUCAGGUCAGUGGAAGCUGUGUACCAAGCACCCCGGUGAGAGUCUGGAUGCUGUAUCCAUAUUGUGGCUGAAAUAUCAGUAUUGAGGAUGUCACAUUAGUCUUAGGGGAAUAUCAGUAUUGAGGAUGUCACAUUAGUCUUAGGGGUGUGAUAGCAGUAUUGUGGGUGUCGUAUCUGUAUUGUGUGUGUCAUAUCAGUAUUGCAGGUGUCCCAUCAGUCUUACGAGUGUCAUAUCAGUCUUACGAGUGUCAUAUCAGCCUUACAGGUGUCAUAUCAGUAUUAUGGGUAUCAUAUGAGUCUUAGGAGGGUCAUGAAUUUUGUGGGCUUCACAUCAGUCUUAUGGGUGUCACAGCAGUCUUGUGGGUGUCAUAUCAGUAUUACGAUAUGCCUUGAUAUGUUAUACCAGUAUGAUACCUCUUCUGAAAACACCUUCACAGACAUACCCACACAUAGUGCUUUAACAGCUCUCUGUGUAUCCCUUAAUCUAGUAAAGUUGACACCUAAAAUUAACCAUCACAGUAAUUAUGCCUGAUUCAUGGCUAAAAUUUUAGAAUUUUUAAAAAUUUUAGAAUGAAAGCUGGGCACCAUAGCCAGACACCGUCCCUACAGAAAUAUUAAAAAGUUAACUGGUUGUGCUUGCACGCAUAUGUAGUUCCAGUUACUCUAGAGGCUGAGGUGGGAGGAUCUUUUGAGCCCAGGAGAUUGAUGCUGAAGAGCUAGGAUUGUGGCACUGCAUUCCAGCCUGGGUGACAGUGUGAGGCUCUCUGAAAAAACAAUCAACAGUAAUAAUAUUCUUUGGAAUACAUUUAACCAAGGUACAAGACUUGUACAUGAGGCUGGGCAUGGUGGCUCAUGCCUGUAAUCCCAGCACUUUGGGAGGCCAAGGCGGGUGGAUCCACGAGAUCAGGAGAUCAAUACCAUCCUGGCUAACAUAGUGAAACCCCGUCUGUACUAAAAAUACAAAACAUUAGCUGGGCAUGGUGGCAUGCGCAUGUAAUCCUAGCUACUUGGGAGGCUGAGGCUGGAGAAUUGCUUGAACCUGGGAGGCAGAGGUUGCAGUGAGCUGAGAUCUCACCACUGCAGUCCACCCUGGGUGACAGAGUGAGACUCUGUUUCUGGAAAAAACAAACAAACAAAAAACAACAAAAUAACUUGUGCAUGGAAAAUUUCAAAACAUUGCUGAAGUAAAUUCAAGAAAGCUUACAGAAAUUUAAAGACACCUCAUAUUCAUAAACUAGAAGACUUAAUAAUUCUUAAGGUGGCAGUACUACACAAAGCCAUCUACAGAUUCUUUGUGAUUCCUGUUACAAUCCCAGCGUCCUUUUGGCAGAAAUCAACAGGCUGAUCUUGUCAUUUAUAUGAAAUUUCAAGGGAUGCAGAAUAGCCAAAAUAGUAUCAAAAAAAAAAAAAAAACAA
Molecule: long non-coding RNA, 3318 nt
Organism: Symphalangus syndactylus (siamang)
Lineage: Eukaryota; Metazoa; Chordata; Mammalia; Primates; Hylobatidae
Source: RefSeq, a predicted model, not a curated record